RNAcentral lists this transfer RNA (73 nucleotides) under Paramuricea clavata. It matches the Rfam family "tRNA". From Rfam's summary of the family: Transfer RNA (tRNA) molecules are approximately 80 nucleotides in length. Their secondary structure includes four short double-helical elements and three loops (D, anti-codon, and T loops). Lineage: Eukaryota; Metazoa; Cnidaria; Anthozoa; Malacalcyonacea; Plexauridae. The record is from Rfam by way of RNAcentral.
GCCUCUGUAGUUCAGUUGGUUAGAGCGCUGCACCGGAAUCGCAGGGUCGUAGGUUCAAUUCCUACCAGAGGAC